Solenopsis invicta (red fire ant) is the source of this 47-nucleotide non-coding RNA. Lineage: Eukaryota; Metazoa; Arthropoda; Insecta; Hymenoptera; Formicidae. The record is from Rfam.
CAAACGGCCCUUUUCAGGGCCCCCUUACUAAAAAAUCUAAUUGGAGU